Molecule: ribosomal RNA, 443 nt
Filed under: uncultured bacterium
Lineage: Bacteria
Description: partial 16S ribosomal RNA
Rfam family: Bacterial small subunit ribosomal RNA
Source: RNAcentral
CCUACGGGCGGCAGCAGUGGGGAAUAUUGGACAAUGGGGGGAACCCUGAUCCAGCGACGCCGCGUGAGUGAAGAAGUAUUUCGGUAUGUAAAGCUCUAUCAGCAGGGAAGAAAGAAAUGACGGUACCUGACUAAGAAGCCCCGGCUAACUACGUGCCAGCAGCCGCGGUAAUACGUAGGGGGCAAGCGUUAUCCGGAUUUACUGGGUGUAAAGGGAGCGUAGACGGCAGGGCAAGUCUGAUGUGAAAGUCCGGGGCUCAACCCCGGGACUGCAUUGGAAACUGUCCGGCUAGAGUGCAGGAGAGGUAAGUGGAAUGCCUAGUGUAGCGGUGAAAUGCGUAGAUAUUAGGAGGAACACCAGUGGCGAAGGCGGCUUACUGGACUGUAACUGACGUUGAGGCUCGAAGGCGUGGGGAGCAAACAGGAUUAGAUACCCUAGUAGUC